RNAcentral lists this unclassified non-coding RNA (490 nucleotides) under Athalia rosae (coleseed sawfly). RNAcentral's name for it is "misc RNA ENSAEAG00005004055.1". Lineage: Eukaryota; Metazoa; Arthropoda; Insecta; Hymenoptera; Athaliidae. The record is from RNAcentral.
ACUUGUUCGAGUAUGGGUUGCAAUACAAGUAAGACUUGCAUGAUUCGAUUUUUCUGGCGAUGUAUCUGUGAAUCUCCAAAAUAUCUUUUGUUCUGCUUUUCGUUUAAAACAGCGAUCAUCAUUGGUAACAAUCGAACUGCAUGCAGAGGUUCGUCGAUAAUCAUCUUGUGCAAUAUAUUCGACAACUCACACGCUGGAUAAAUGAUUUGGAUAAGAGCGCCUAUACCACCGAACAACAAACGAACGAGCUUGUAGCUCGACUUUUUGGUCACGGCGUGGAACUGUACCAUGCAGCAAGCAAGAGAUUAUUGCUUCAUAAAAAUUUGAUAGAUAGUCCCCCUUAGCUUGUUGCAAUCCUUUGAGCAAAAUUAGACUUAGUCUGGGAAUUUUGUCUGAUUUUAGUAUAAUUUCACCGGUAUACUGGAAAAAGACCAUAUCUCAAUUAUUCCUGAUUGGACCAGAACCGCUAGUUGUAAAUUGACAACAUCCA